AUGGGGAGUAUUCAUACAGAAGCCUUGCAUCACAUAACAAUGUUUAUGUGCAUUACCUCUGAUUUAUAUCGAAGAACACCGCGCUUCCAGCAGCAAGACGUUGUUUACCACGAAGCUUUAGAUGUAGCAACGUUACAGCAACUGCAAACACCGGCGGUAGGAAAACAAGUUUGCGCGGAUGAAGCAGAUAAAAUCGUCGCAGAAGCAGCCAAAAAACAACAACAAUGCCGGAUGAAGCAUAUAAAAUCGGUACUGACUUUGACCGGUUCCAGCAAAAGCUCUAGCAAAUUCCGUCGUUGA
RNAcentral lists this ribosomal RNA (300 nucleotides) under Triticum aestivum (bread wheat). Its description in RNAcentral is "partial small subunit ribosomal RNA". The record is from RNAcentral. Lineage: Eukaryota; Viridiplantae; Streptophyta; Magnoliopsida; Poales; Poaceae.